GCAAGUCGAGCGAGAAGGUUAUGAAUGAUUCUUCGGAUGAAUGAUUAACUGGAAAGCGGCGGACGGGUGAGUAACGCGUGGGUAACCUGCCCUGUACAGAGGAAUAGCCAUUGGAAACGAUGAUUAAUGCCUCAUAAGACUACGAGAUCACCUGGUCAUGUAGUAAAAACUCCGGUGGUACAGGAUGGACCCGCGUUAGAUUAGUUAGUUGGUGAGGUAACGGCUCACCAAGACGACGAUCUAUAGCCGACCUGAGAGGGUGAUC
This 265-nucleotide ribosomal RNA is filed under the name uncultured bacterium. Its description in RNAcentral is "partial 16S ribosomal RNA". It matches the Rfam family "Bacterial small subunit ribosomal RNA", at positions 57 to 305 of the family's 1533-position model. The record is from RNAcentral.